RNA transcript from Haemorhous mexicanus (house finch), 1797 nucleotides. It is a transcript of the gene named acyl-CoA dehydrogenase medium chain, with no coding region annotated. Lineage: Eukaryota; Metazoa; Chordata; Aves; Passeriformes; Fringillidae. The record is from RefSeq and is a predicted model, not a curated record. The transcript is spliced from 13 exons.
GCGGAGGAAUAGGAACUCUCCGGAGGCUCUCCUCGUAGGAGCAGAGCAAGGCGGGGCGGGGCGGUCGAGUCCAGGGCUCCCCCAGCGCCUCGGCCCAAGGGGCGGCCCGCGUGGCACCGCCCCGCCGAAGCUCCUGCGGCUGCCGGGCUCUCCCGCCGAGAUGGCUGCGCUGAGGGCAACGCGGCAAAUGCUUCAAACCAUCACAGGGCAUGGAUGGAGGUCCUAUUGUAGUAAACCUGCUCAAAACUUACAUGUAGGCAAACCUGGAGCUGGCUUUAGCUUUGAACUUACUGAUGAACAGAAAGAGUUCCAAGCUACUGCUCGUAAAUUUGCUGUGGAGGAAAUUAUUCCUGUUGCUGCACAAUAUGACAAAACUGGAGAGUAUCCUGUUCCACUUAUAAAGCGAGCUUGGGAGCUUGGUCUUAUGAAUUGUCACAUACCAGAAAGCUGUGGUGGCCUUGGCCUUGGCAGUUUUGAAACGUGCCUUAUUACAGAAGAGUUAGCUUACGGAUGUACAGGGGUUCAAACCGCCAUUGAAGCAAACUCCCUAGGGCAAAUGCCAGUUAUCAUUGCAGGAAAUGAGCAUCAGCAGAAAAAAUACUUAGGAAGAAUGACAGAAGAACCAAUGAUGUGUGCUUACUGUGUAACAGAGCCUGGAGCAGGCUCUGAUGUGGCUGGUAUAAAAACAAAGGCUGAGAAGAAAGGAGAUGAGUAUGUUAUUAACGGUCAGAAGAUGUGGAUCACAAAUGGGGGGAAAGCAAACUGGUAUUUUUUGCUAGCACGUACAAAUCCAGAUCCAAAAGCUCCUGCAAGCAAAGCCUUUACUGGAUUCAUUGUGGAAGCAGAUAGCCCAGGGAUACAAAUUGGAAGAAAGGAAAUGAAUAUGGGUCAACGCUGCUCAGAUACAAGAGGCAUUGUCUUUGAAGAUGUGAGAGUCCCAAAAGAAAAUGUAUUGAUAGCUGAGGGAGCUGGCUUUAAAAUUGCAAUGGGAGCUUUUGAUAAGACCAGACCACCCGUAGCAGCUGGUGCUGUUGGAUUAGCAAAAAGAGCCCUUGAUGAAGCUACUAGAUACGCUUUGGAGAGAAAAACCUUUGGGAAACCAAUUGUUGAACACCAAGCAGUGUCUUUCUUGCUUGCUGAAAUGGCAAUGAAAGUUGAACUCGCUAGGAUGGCUUACCAGAGAGCUGCAUGGGAAGUUGAUGCCGGUCGCAGGAAUACCUACUAUGCUUCCAUUGCAAAGGCAUUUGCUGGUGACAUUGCAAACCAAGUAGCUGCAGAUGCAGUACAGAUUUUUGGAGGAAAUGGAUUUAAUACUGAAUAUCCUGUAGAAAAACUAAUGAGAGAUGCUAAAAUCUACCAGCAAACAAACAGAAGAGAGGGAUGAUGCAGGCUGUUUCUAGAAGAAAAUGCAAGAAUAAAGGAAACCACAAACAAAACUCUGUGAGAGAGAGUACUAAUUAACAAGAAGCAAUGGAAAAAAUGGAUCAAAGACAACAUAUGAUUUAUGAGGGAACUGCUCAAAUUCAAAGGAUGAUCAUAGCUCGAGAACAUGUUGGCAAAUUUAAGGCUUAAAGAAAUGUAUAAAGUGUGUCUGGUGCUGCUGUAGUAUUCUGUGUUCUUAUGGAAGAAGAUUUUAGUGUGUUUCUCAAGAGAAUUAAAAAGAAAAAAAAAUUCCUUCAAAAUAUUUUUAUUCCAUUCAUUAUUAAGCACCGAUUCUGUUCUCAGUAUCAAAUAAGAUAAUCAGAGUGUAAUUUUUGACAGUCAAUGCUGCAUUUCAAUAAAAUAUUUUUAAGAGAA